GGUCCAAUAGUCUAGUCGGUUAGGACGUGGGAUUCUGAUUCCCAAGACCUCGGUUCGAAUCCGGGUUGGACCU
Cephalotrichum gorgonifer is the source of this 73-nucleotide non-coding RNA. The record is from the annotation of a GenBank genome assembly. NCBI's taxonomy places the organism in Eukaryota, Fungi, Ascomycota, Sordariomycetes, Microascales, Microascaceae.